CACAGCCGCAAUGCUCCCCUCUCCCUAUCUCAUCCCUUCCUCUCGUCUCACUCUCAUCAAGGCGUCGCUCCUCAACUCUCCAAACUCUCAACCUUUUUCCGUUCAACCUUAACAACCGAGUGCCUAGAAGCCCCAAACCGAUGCUUAACACGACCAAAGGCCCUGAGCUACGACCCCUAAGUUCUACGGCCGACGAGACUCCUCAACCAAAGGUUGCAAGUGAGUGAUGGGAACGAGCUGCUGCAGUGGAGCCUGCUGUCUUCACGUGGGGUACUCGGGCAUGCACGAACAUGUGGGAGGCAUGGACAGCUUGGUUAUCUUGCUGCUUCAUGUGAAUGCUCGAUUGUGCGGCACACGUGGGAGACAUGGCUACUGUAACUGAGUGCAUGGGUCCUGUCGAGCGUGGAGCAUGCUGUUGGGUGCUGCUUCACGUGGGGUGUACGAGUGUUGGAGCUUCACAUGGGAGUUAGCUGUCAAAAUCGGGUCUGGGUCAUAUAUGGCUUCAUUUGGAUCGGGUUCAAUGCUUUGGGCAUGGUCUUGAGUUUGUAAUUGAUUUGGGUUUAGUUUGGGUUUGUAAGAUGAAAAUGGACUCUAGAUAUUUAAUUUGGAUUUUGGAUUGAA
This is a long non-coding RNA of Hibiscus syriacus, 621 nucleotides long. RefSeq lists it as uncharacterized. The record is from RefSeq and is a predicted model, not a curated record. Lineage: Eukaryota; Viridiplantae; Streptophyta; Magnoliopsida; Malvales; Malvaceae. The transcript is spliced from 2 exons.